UUAAUCAAGAACGAAAGUUAGAGGUUCGAAGGCGAUCAGAUACCGCCCUAGUUCUAACCGUAAACUAUGCCUACUAGGUGUAUGAAUUAUUAGUUAUAAUAAUUUAUGCACCUUCUCGGAAACGAAAGUCUUUCGGUUCCGGGGGAAGUAUGGUUGCAAAGCUGAAACUUAAAGGAAUUGACGGAAGGGCACCACCAGGAGUGGAGCCUGCGGCUUAAUUUGACUCAACACGGGAAAACUCACCCGGGCCGGACACUAUAAGGAUUGACAGAUUGAUAGCUCUUUCAUGAUUUAGUGGUUGGUGGUGCAUGGCCGUUCUUAGUUCGUGGAUAUGAUUUGUCUGGUUGAUUCCGAUAACGAGCGAGACUUUUAUGUUAUAUUAAAUAAUAUUAUUUAUAAAUUUUAUAUUUUAUAUAAUAUUUUAUUUUAAUAACAGAUUAAUAGUGCGUAACUA
RNAcentral lists this ribosomal RNA (454 nucleotides) under Strongyloides fuelleborni. RNAcentral's name for it is "SSU rRNA". It matches the Rfam family "Eukaryotic small subunit ribosomal RNA", at positions 973 to 1436 of the family's 1831-position model. The record is from RNAcentral. Lineage: Eukaryota; Metazoa; Nematoda; Chromadorea; Rhabditida; Strongyloididae.